GUUCCAUUUGCCUUUUAUUGCUGGAGGAAGAAGAGCACAUCAGUAUCCCAGGAACGAUUUCACCUCAGGAAAAAGAAAGAGGAAAGAAAUGAUCUUGCAGUGAUGGAACCUCAAGCCGCAAUAGCAGCGACUUCCUCACCUGUCAAGGACUCUGAGGUCACCUACAGCUGCAUCC
Molecule: non-coding RNA, 175 nt
Organism: Notechis scutatus (mainland tiger snake)
Lineage: Eukaryota; Metazoa; Chordata; Lepidosauria; Squamata; Elapidae
Source: RefSeq, a predicted model, not a curated record